UACGGAGGGUGCGAGCGUUGUCCGGAAUCACUGGGCGUAAAGGGCGCGUAGGUGGCGGAGUAAGCGUGCGGUGAAAGCUCGGGGCUCAACCCCGAGUCGGCCGUGCGAACUGCUCUCGCUUGAGCAUUGUAGAGGUCGAUGGAAUUCCGGGUGUAGCGGUGGAAUGCGUAGAGAUCCGGAAGAACACCGGUGGCGAAGGCGGUCGACUGGGCAAUGGCUGACACUGAGGCGCGACAGCGUGGGGAGCAAACAGG
Molecule: ribosomal RNA, 254 nt
Filed under: uncultured bacterium
Lineage: Bacteria
Description: partial 16S ribosomal RNA
Rfam family: Bacterial small subunit ribosomal RNA
Source: RNAcentral